RNAcentral lists this ribosomal RNA (402 nucleotides) under uncultured bacterium. Its description in RNAcentral is "bacterial SSU rRNA". It matches the Rfam family "Bacterial small subunit ribosomal RNA", at positions 355 to 774 of the family's 1533-position model. The record is from RNAcentral.
UAGGGAAUAUUGGACAAUGGGCGAAAGCCUGAUCCAGCCAUGCCGCGUGAGUGAUGAAGGCCCUAGGGUUGUAAAGCUCUUUUGUGCGGGAAGAUAAUGACGGUACCGCAAGAAUAAGCCCCGGCUAACUUCGUGCCAGCAGCCGCGGUAAUACGUAGGGGGCAAGCGUUGUCCGGAUUUACUGGGUGUAAAGGGCGCGCAGGCGGAAUGGAAAGUCAGUGGUGAAAUCCUACAGCUUAACUGUAGAACUGCCUUUGAUACUUUCAUUCUUGAGUUCGGGAGAGAGAGACGGAAUUCCAGGUGUAGUGGUGAAAUACGUAGAUAUCUGGAAGAACACCAGUUGCGAAGGCGGUCUCUUGAUCCGAUACUGACGCUGAGGCGCGAAAGCGUGGGGAGCAAACA